UACGUAGGGUGCGAGCGUUGUCCGGAAUUAUUGGGCGUAAAGGGCUCGUAGGCGGUUUGUCGCGUCGGGAGUGAAAACUCAGGGCUUAACCCUGGAGCCUGCUUCCGAUACGGGGCAGGACUAGAGGUAUGCAGGGGGAGAACGGAAUUCCUGGUGUAGCGGUGAAAUGCGCAGAUAUCAGGAGGAACACCGGUGGCGAAGGCGGUUCUCUGGGCAUUACCUGACGCUGAGGAGCGAAAGUGUGGGGAGGCGAACAGG
Molecule: ribosomal RNA, 258 nt
Filed under: uncultured bacterium
Lineage: Bacteria
Description: partial 16S ribosomal RNA
Rfam family: Bacterial small subunit ribosomal RNA
Source: RNAcentral